Molecule: transfer RNA, 86 nt
Filed under: Escherichia phage 4MG
Lineage: Duplodnaviria; Heunggongvirae; Uroviricota; Caudoviricetes
Description: tRNA-Asn
Rfam family: tRNA
About the family: Transfer RNA (tRNA) molecules are approximately 80 nucleotides in length. Their secondary structure includes four short double-helical elements and three loops (D, anti-codon, and T loops).
Source: RNAcentral
GGUUCUUUGACCGAGAGGCCGAUGGUAGCAGGCUGUUAACCUGCCUGGAGCAAUCCACAACGAAGGUUCGAAUCCUUCAGGAACCG